AACGCUAGCUACAGGCUUAACACAUGCAAGUCGAGGGGAAACGACAUCGAAAGCUUGCUUUUGAUGGGCGUCGACCGGCGCACGGGUGAGUAACGCGUAUCCAACCUGCCCACCACUUGGGGAUAACCUUGCGAAAGUAAGACUAAUACCCAAUGACGUCUCUAGAAGACAUCUGAAAGAGAUUAAAGAUUUAUCGGUGAUGGAUGGGGAUGCGUCUGAUUAGCUUGUUGGCGGGGUAACGGCCCACCAAGGCGACGAUCAGUAGGGGUUCUGAGAGGAAGGUCCCCCACAUUGGAACUGAGACACGGUCCAAACUCCUACGGGAGGCAGCAGUGAGGAAUAUUGGUCAAUGGGCGAGAGCCUGAACCAGCCAAGUAGCGUGAAGGAUGACGGCCCUACGGGUUGUAAACUUCUUUUGUGCGGGAAUAAAGGAACCUACGUGUAGGUUUUUGCAUGUACCGUAACGAAUAAGCAUCGGCUAACUCCGUGCCAGCAGCCGCGGUAAUACGGAGGAUGCGAGCGUUAUCCGGAUUUAUUGGGUUUAAAGGGAGCGUAGACGGGUUUUUAAGUCAGCUGUGAAAGUUUGGGGCUCAACCUUAAAAUUGCAGUUGAAACUGGAGACCUUGAGUACGGUUGAGGCAGGCGGAAUUCGUGGUGUAGCGGUGAAAUGCUUAGAUAUCACGAAGAACUCCGAUUG
This 697-nucleotide ribosomal RNA is filed under the name uncultured bacterium. Its description in RNAcentral is "bacterial SSU rRNA". It matches the Rfam family "Bacterial small subunit ribosomal RNA", at positions 32 to 715 of the family's 1533-position model. The record is from RNAcentral.